AGCUUUAGGUUCUAUCUAAGGUGACGCCUGCCCAGUGCGAUUUGUUAACGGCCGCAGUACCCUGACUGUGCUAAGGUAGCAUAAUCAGUUGGCUUUUAAAUGGAGUCGGGAAUGAAUGGAUUUUUGGGGUUAAGCUGUCUCUUUUGCAUUAAUUUGAAUUUUUUUAUUAGGUGAAAAUACCUAAGAUUAGAAAAAAGACGAGAAGACCCUAGGAGUUUUUACUAAUAGAAUUAAACUUACGUUUUUGUUGGGGCGACAGGAGAAGAGUAUAAACUUCUUUUAACUAUUAGCCGACAUAGGUAUGAAAAAAUAAACUACCCUAGGGAUAACAGCGUAAUUCUUUUUGAGUUUGCGACCUCGAUGUUGGACUAGGAAUUUGGUAGGUUAGCCGCCUAUUUAUAUUGUUCUGUUCGAACUUAAUUUCCUACAU
This 430-nucleotide ribosomal RNA is filed under the name Ercolania viridis. RNAcentral describes it as "partial 16S ribosomal RNA". It matches the Rfam family "Archaeal large subunit ribosomal RNA", at positions 1924 to 2670 of the family's 2987-position model. The record is from RNAcentral. Lineage: Eukaryota; Metazoa; Mollusca; Gastropoda; Limapontiidae.